UCUGCCUCCACUGCUCCGACGUUGAAAGGUCCCGUCCCCCACUUUUUCCCACCCCCUCUCCUUCCGGGGUUAAAAGCCCAAGAAAGGGCGAUGGCGGCACUUUGGCCCAGCGGCCCCGGUUGGGGGGGGGUACUGCUCCAAUAGCUCCGCGCGGAGGGUAGAGCCGGUUGAGGCGCACCUCCCUCUCUGAAUCUCUCUGAAUCCUCCCCGGAGCCUUCUGCUGCGCUUGCUGAGAGGCCUCGCUCGCUGGAUCCCUUCCUUCCCUUCUUGUGCAACCUCUUCCCGGCCCGCUUCCCUUCCUGGGCUCCGCAGCCAAAGUGCCUUCGCCAUGGCCACGUAUUUGGGAAGCAGUGCCAUGCAGACGGAGGACGAGGAGCAAUGGCUCUACUACGGAGGCAGGCAGGCUGGGUACUCCAGAGCGUCUCAAGCAAUGGUGACAACAACAACAAACAACAACAACAACAACAACAACAAUAAAGGUCUCGUUCUCUGAGGAGCUGCUUGCACAUUUGUUACAGGGCGAUCCUGGAAGUAAGCCCGGCUGAGUUCAGUGGGACUUAGAUUCCCAGGCGGCAUCGGUAAUCAAGAAGAUGGACCUAUUCCUCGGGACACAGGACCUCAUCCUUUAAAAGGCAUUCCCAAGGAGAAAAAGACUGUCAGUGAUGAAGAACGAAAAUUGUUACAGCAAGUAAGCAGUACAGUAUAAUCAAUCUGAGAUCUCUACCCUAGUGCUCCUCUGAUGUUUAGAUCUCCCAACUCCCAUCAGCCCCAGCCAGCAACAUACAGGUGUGCUAGUCAGGGCUGAUGGGACUUGGAGUCCGAAACAUCUGGAAGGCACCAGGUUGGAGAUGGCUGGCUUAGAAGAAUGGUUUAGCUCUUUGCCAAACUUAACAGAAGAAGAGGAGACCCAGAAUGGUUGGGAAGCAGUGGUGGAGGAAGCCCCUUGGGCACCCAGAGCGCAUAGCUGCCAAGUUAUCCCUUUUUUAAAGGGAUUUUGCCUUAUGCUGAAUAGGCUUCCUCGCGAGAAAAGGGAAAACUUGGCAGCUAUGCCAGAGCGGCACCCGGGGUGUGCACCAUAAAUUACCAGUAAGAAAGGGGUUAAGGAUCACAAACUUCUUAAUUGCUAGAGAAGACUCAGAUUGCUCAUGACCCCUCACCAUCGGGGAGGGAGGAUGCAAGGGUUAUUUCCUGUUCUUCUCUCUGUGUGUCUUCUCUUUGAACCAUGUAACUGAGCAGACAUCUGAGACCGAGGCUCCAGAAUCAGACUGUGUGUUUGAAGUCAACUUCUGUAUUUUGUAACCAAGAAUACAUUACCUGUGUUGUUUCUGCUGUAACAUUGAACGAUGCAUGAGUGAGACCUCUGAUUAAACGUAAAGGUAAAGGGACCCCUGACCAUUAGGUCCAGUUGUGACCGACUCUGGGGUUGCAGCGCUCAUCUCGUGUUAUUGGUUGAGGGAGCCGGCGUACAGCUUCCAGGUCAUGUGGCCAGCAGGACAAAGCUGCUUCUGGUGAACCAGAGCAGCACACAAAAAUGCCAUUUACCUUCCCGCUUGGAGCGGUACGUAUUUAUCUACUUGCACUUUGACAUGCUUUCGAACUGCUAGGUUGGCAGGAGCAGGGACUGAGCAACGGGAGCUCACCCGUUAUGGGAAUUCGAACCGCCAACCUGCUGAUCGGCAAGCCCUAGGCUCUGUGGUUUAACCCACAGUGCCACCCGUGUCCCAAGACCUCUGAUUACUGAAGCUAAGUGGGACCAUCGAUGUGAUAGGUGGAGAGCCAGGCACUAUUAGGAGAGUGGAAGGAAGGUGCCGUGAUAAGAAUGGCCCAGAGUAAAACUUAAUUCAGGUAAGAAAUAUGUCCAGACUCCAUGAACUUUGCUUUCUUAUCUAACUCACUUUUGAGUACAAGCGGAUUAGUUUGUUUAUAUAUUUAUUGCAUUUAUAUCCCACCUUUUUCUCCAAGGUGGUGUGUUCUUCCUCAUUUAAUCCCCACAAUGGCUCUGUGAGGUAGGUGGGGCUGAGAGGCAGUGACUGGCCCCCACGAUCAUCUAGUGAAAGCUUCGUGGCCAAGUGGGAGGCUUUGAACCCUGGUCUCUCCCAGGUCCUAGUCCAACCACUCCACCACACUACUUCUCAAAUUUAUAUCACACCCUUUGUCUAAAGGAGCCUCCUUCAAGGCUGAUUGCAUACCCUUUUUUAUUACCGUAUUUUCCCAUGUAUAAGGUUAGGUUUCCCCCCUAAAAAAUAAUGUCAAAAAUUAGGGGGCAUAUUAUACAUGGGCCAUCUCCUCCCAUGUUCUUAUAUCUGAGUCUCUCCAAAUACAUGGGGGUGUCUUAUGGACGGGAUAAUAUGGUAAAUUCAGUCCACAUGCUCAAAAGCAAAGUAAGGAGAGGUUCAGAAUUCCAGGAUCCUUUCUUUAAAGAUUUAUAAAGAUUUAUAAAGCUUUAAAGAUUAUAAAGCUUCUGAUCAUCUCAGGAUUAUACCACUUCAAUCUCGCCUUGUUCUGCAGCAUGUACAGAGCUAUGCCCAAUUGUUAUUUGGUGGUGUAGAUACUUACAGUGCUUUCUGUUCUAUUCUUCACAUUAGCUACAGUGGGACUAAGGAAUACGUGGCCCUCCAUAGGUUACAAUUCCCAUCACUCCUGACUGCUGGUGGCAUUUGCUGGGGUUGAUGGGAGUUGAUGGGUCCAACAACAGGGCCACAGGUUCUCCACCCCUGCUCUAAACCAUAUUUGUAAACCUGCUUGAAAGUAUUCUGUUAUUGACUAGGUAUGCCACCCCCAGCUCCUGUUCCAGGCAAGUACUUCUGUUUAAGCAUAAGGGUAGCAAAUGCAAUCUGGCCUACUAGAGAAUGGAGCACUUCAAAUUAAAGCCUUUGAAUAGAAAUCUGGGUAGCAUUUAAUUGGAUGAACACAUGUAGCUAAUCACCAGUUGGAGGCCAAUCAAACAUGGUCUUGUCCACAUGUUGCUUGACUAAGUCUUCUGUCAUCUCUGACCAUUAGCCAUUCUAGGUCGGGAUGAUAGGAGCUGGAAUCAUGAAACAUCUAGAGGGGACUGUCCUGUAACCGUUAUACAUCAGAGAAGUUAUAGAUUUCAUUGGGCACCAACCUAUGAAAUUUUUAACUUCUCUGAAGUGUAAUGGUUAUGGGGUGGGGAAACACAUUAAAGAAUAAUGGAAUAGGCAAGGCUGAGGUCUGAAAGUGUCUGUUCUAAGUUCCUGAGACAGAAGUAGAUGUGGUAGACACCUGGAAGGAAAGCUACCUGGCAACUCCAGGUGGGAUAACCAACACCCCAGGUGUGCAGAAUUGCACAUUAUGGGUAGGACACGAGUCCGUUGUUGAGUCCAGUCUCUCUCCCUUCACUAAUAUGUAGUGAAUAUAUGCUGAUAUUAUCACAUUGUGUGUUCCCUGCCUUGCAUUAUUGACAGCAGCUGGUUGGGGUGCAGGGAGAUGAAACAUGAAGAAGUUCAGAGACAGGUGUGUGCUUUGUGACACAUUACUGUAGGAUGCAGGGUGGGGGGACUGGAGAUGGUACCAGGGUUUUAAUUGGCAUUGUGAAGUUCUAGGAAGAGCCUGCUGGAUCAGACCAGUAGCCCAUCUUGUCUGGCAUCCUGUUCUCACAGUGGAAACACAAGAAAAUCACAAGCAGGAUCUGAGCACAAGAGGGAGCUCAAGGGACAUGCUCUGUCCCCAUCCUGUGGCCAAAGAAACAACACCAUCUGCUUCUGAAGCAAAAACACCAGUGAGAAAAGAGAAGGCUUUGGUGGUAGUUGAAGGGUCUUCCUUUAGAGGCAGCAAGUGAUCUCAUUGAAAGUGCUGCUGCUUCUUCAUCUGAGAAAUGAGGCCAGGGUGGCCUCCACUUUGGUAUGAUGUUCUGCCAUGCAUUGUAGCAGCGUUUGCAAGGGAGCUGGGAGCUUCCCUUCCUCUUCUCCACACAUUUAAACUAGUAUGACUUUGUCUACCGGUCUGUUUCCUCCACCUCAUGUUUCACCGCCACCCCUUUCAAUUCCAACAUGUGAUGGGUAAGUGAGAAUUAAAUGGGUUUAACUCACUAACACUCUAUUUGUUGCAUUUAUAUCCUACCUUUUUUUAGCUCAAGGUGGCACACGUGGAUCUCCCCUUCCUCAGUUAAUCCCCACAACAACCCUGUGAGGUAUGUUAGGCUGAGAGACCAGUGACUGUCCGAGGGUCACCAACUGAGCUUCGCAGCUGAGUGGGGAGUUGAACACUGGUCUCCCAGUUUCUACCUCCAGCUACUGCUGAGCAGUGGCAUACAGACUGCCAGUUCGUGAGUUGCUAAGAGCAGAACCCUUGGGAUGAUUUGUGGCUCUUUCCAAUGGUGUGUAGAGAAUGUGGUGAUGCCCUUGAAACAGCAGAAAAAUACAGCAGCCACAAUGUUUCAUGGUGAGCACUUUCCCAGCCACAUUACACUAGUCUUAUAUCAAUUUCGUUGGGUUCUGGUUCUCUCUUUGUCCCACUCUGCUUUCCUGGUCCCAGUUCUAGAUGCUGGUUGUUACCUGUCCAGGAAUAUCUGAAACACAGCCUCAUCUCACUAUAGGUUACUGUCAUCUUGUGAUGUCCUGAUUUGUGUCCCAUCAGCCAAAGAGAUUAGUUUGGUAGGAAGGCAGAUUGGGCCUUUUCUGUGGCAGCCCCCCUCCCAAAAGAUAUGGAAUCCCCUUCCACAAUAAGUUAGACUGGCCUGCCCCUAACAGCUUUUAGGCAAGCAUUCCCCCCCCCUGAAUUUUGCUGGUGUUUAAUUAUGAGAUUUAAGGAUUUAGCUUUUCUGUUUUCCUGGGUUUUAGAUAUUUGGAUUUUAUUUUGUGUAUACUGGUUUCAUUGGUUUUAAUGCACUGCCAAUGGCCUUUGGGGGGAAGGUUUUUCAUGAGCAAAAAUGUUUGUACAAAGAAAAGAUGGGGAGCUUUGAUUAAGAACUUUUACACAUUCCCCACAUUGUCAAUUUAUGGAGCUCAUUGUGGCAAAAUGUGGAGAUGGCUUUACAAUGGGAUUAUAUCUUCCCCACCCUGGUGCAACCUUCAGAUGUAUUAGUCUAAAUUCCCAUCUGCAUCAGUCAGCAUAGUAAUGGCCACAGAUGCUGAGAGUCCAAAACAUUUGGAGGGGUGUCAGGUUGGGAAAGGCUGGAUUAGACAAAUUUACAGGGAACUUUACAGAUUUCAGUGGGCAUCAGCCAUGAUAAUCAAAUGGACGUCCAUAUUUAUGGAGGCAGAAUGUCACUUGGGGAGGAGGGAACUGCAGGAGAGGGUGAUAGCAUGCCUGGCUUGUAGGGUUCCCAGAGGCAUCUUGGUGUUCAAAGUGGAAAGCUGUAUGCUGGGCUAGGUGGUCUCAUCCAGCAGGGCUCUUCAGUAUACUUGUGUCUAGCUCUCUGCAUACUCAACACUCCUCGGUUGUGCUCCUAGUGGAUAGACAAGAAAGCUGUGGUAGCUAGGAGAGAUGGCAUGGCAGGACUAGGAAAGAAUCAGCACCUUUGAUGAAGCUUAUGGUCAACAAGAGAGAAACUCUUUAAGGGAGUUGGGACAAUGAUGCUGUGUUUUAUAGCAGCUGAUUUUAAUUUUUCUCCUUCUGAAUGGGUGACAGGGGAGCUAGAUAUUACUAACCAGUUGUUGUUGUGCUCUCCCUCUCUCUCCUUCUUUCCCUCUCUCAAAGCCAGUCUGCCAGCUACAACAACAGUCAACCACCUCCAUUUGGCUACAACUCCACAGGCAGGAGUGUGGGGCAAACAGCACCAGGAGUGCGGCAAAGCAGCGGCCGCCCCGUGUGUAGUUCCCCGUCGUCUCCCCCAAGGCCAGGAAGGGAGAGAGUGAGGAAGGGGAAAGGCUGCCAGCAACGCAGUGUGGCUUCCCCCCCCCCCCCCGGUAUGCAGCCAGAAGCAGCGAGGAAUGGAGCGGCUUAUUUUGGGUAAGCAGCAUGAGAGCAAAGAAGGUGAAAGCCAUAGGCGUCACAAGCACAAAAAGAACAAGCACAACAAGAAAGAGAAGGCAUGAGGUAGGUGUACCGGAGAGAAAUGGACAGGAUUCCAUGAAGGAGCAAAUCUGUGGUCCAAAAACAAUAGUGACACUUUUACAGCCAGAUUGUCUGUAGCAACCUUUUUCUCUCUGAGAAAUUAAAUGGCUGAAAUGAUUAGCAACCAAACAUGGGCACAAGCUUCCUCUUUGUGAAAGAAGACAACAUUCAAAGGAUUUUUGGAGAGAGAAAACUGGCAGCAAAAAAAGCAGUUAUUUACCUACAUGUGAGAUCCCAUAGCUUCUUAUAGGAGAUAGCUUCCGUGCAAACUAAUGCAUUUAGAAUAUAGGACAAUACUUGGCAAAUCAUUGACUUCUUUUAUUUUUUAGAACAGUAACAGCCACAUGAAGCUUUGUCCAAAAAAGUAAAGUAUUAUGACUAAAUUAACAUAAUAAGCUAGCUGACAGCUAGCUUAGAGUCUGGCUUCUAAAAGCUAGAAGCUAGUUGUAGGGAUGCUGCAUGCUAGGAGAGCCAAUAUGAUCAGAAUAAUCACAUCAAAACAGCUUCAAUAACUUCAGAAUAAUUUAUAAAUGCAUCAAAAUAAUAACAGAGUUGUUAACAAUGUACCAUAAUCUCUUUGGUGCAAAACAUUGUAGAUUUACUGGUGAUUGUUAAAGGCACCUUGAAAUAAGACAACAUAGUGAAAUAGUGCUGCUGAGGCAGCCCAUACCCUUCAUUUGGAAAAAGCAUACAUUUUCCUCUCUACAGUCAUCGCAAGAGGCAAAUAUUACUCCAGGCUUCCACCUUGGGUCUUGUGAAUUCUGUAAUCACCCCUUGCAAGGAGAUGUAAAUGGUGAUUCCUUUUAAAACCACAUUUACAUGAAAGCAUUAACACUCAGUAUUGAUGCUGUGACUUGCAGGGACACCUCACCCACAUGAAAACCACAUGCCCCGUUAGAUCAAUGUCCUCUCACACGUGGCAAUAGCAACAGCUUGCAACACCCAAAUCAGGCAGUGAAGACAUUUAAAUUAGAGAUGGCAAUUUGAAUCAUUCCUCGGAUCCUUUUGGAUUUUUAAAACAUGUAGAUUUGAUGGACUGCUCCUGAAAGUUGACCACUGAACUCAUAUUUCACACAUAGCUGUUAGUCUGAUUUCAACCUGCAUUUUAUACAAGUUACAUAGAGUACUAGUAUACAGAAAUGCUGGACCAAAAGUUAUUUUAAGCAUUAUACUUGCCCUAUAGUAUGCAGGUAAAGCAAGCAGUUUUCACAAGGGCGGAGACUCACAUUAAGCAAACCACAAUCUUAGAACAACAAAGGAGCAUCCCACACUGCCAUCCUUAUAGAAUUUUCCUCAAACUUACCGUCUCUAGUCUACAAUCAAGCUAGUAGAAUCAAGAAAUAGAUACUGCAAAUGAGCCUACACUUGGAGACCAGCUUGGAACUGUGGUUGCCUAGGGAAGAAGAGUGUAUCUUUUUUACUAAGAUUGAAAUCCACAGUCCUGUCAACAUUAGGGGUUCCAUUCCCACCCACCCCGCAAGGUGUACUUGGUAACUGCGUAGUUGAAUUUUACCUGCAGGUGCCACACUUCUGUAUCAACUGUCUGGCCCAGCAAUUUCUACAUGCCAUCCAACUAUUAACAGCA
Zootoca vivipara (common lizard) is the source of this 7600-nucleotide non-coding RNA. The record is from RefSeq and is a predicted model, not a curated record. Lineage: Eukaryota; Metazoa; Chordata; Lepidosauria; Squamata; Lacertidae.